RNAcentral lists this ribosomal RNA (405 nucleotides) under uncultured bacterium. Its description in RNAcentral is "bacterial SSU rRNA". It matches the Rfam family "Bacterial small subunit ribosomal RNA", at positions 355 to 774 of the family's 1533-position model. The record is from RNAcentral.
UGGGGAAUAUUGCACAAUGGGGGAAACCCUGACCCAGCAACGCCGCGUGAAGGAAGAAGGCUUUCGGGUUGUAAACUUCUUUUAUGUGGGACGAAACAAAUGACGGUACCACAUGAAUAAGCCACGGCUAACUACGUGCCAGCAGCCGCGGUAAUACGAAGGGGGCAAGCGUUGUUCGGAAUUACUGGGCGUAAAGCGCACGUAGGCUGUUUGUCAAGUCAGAGGUGAAAUCCCACGGCCCAACCGUGGAACUGCCUUUGAAACUGGCAGACUUGAGUGUCGGAGAGGGUGGCGGAAUUCCAGGUGUAGGAGUGAAAUCCGUAGAUAUCUGGAGGAACACCGGUGGCGAAGGCGGCCACCUGGACGAUAACUGACGCUGAGGUGCGAAAGCGUGGGUAGCAAACA